Molecule: ribosomal RNA, 492 nt
Filed under: uncultured bacterium
Lineage: Bacteria
Description: partial 16S ribosomal RNA
Rfam family: Bacterial small subunit ribosomal RNA
Source: RNAcentral
AGUGAACGCUGGCGGUAGGCCUAACACAUGCAAGUCGAACGGCAGCACAGUAAGAGCUUGCUCUUACGGGUGGCGAGUGGCGGACGGGUGAGGAAUACAUCGGAAUCUACUUUUUCGUGGGGGAUAACGUAGGGAAACUUACGCUAAUACCGCAUACGACCUACGGGUGAAAGCAGGGGAUCUUCGGACCUUGCGCGAUUGAAUGAGCCGAUGUCGGAUUAGCUAGUUGGCGGGGUAAAGGCCCACCAAGGCGACGAUCCGUAGCUGGUCGGAGAGGAUGGUAGACGACAUGGGGAGGUAGACAGCGACAUUGGCACUGACGUACGGCACAGAGUCCUAUAGGGGGCAGCAGGGGGGAAUCUUGUACAACCGGCGGGCGCGUGAUACAGAGAAGCCGCGUUCGGGAUGACGGUCUUGGGGUUAAAAAAAGCUGUCGCCUGAGACCACGCGUGAGUGACGGUAACGGAUAAAGAAGCACCGGCUAACUUCGUG